GCCGGGGUGGCGGAGUGGACGAACGCGCCGGCCUUGAGAGCCGGUGACCCUUUUGGGUCUCAAGGGUUCAAAUCCCUUCCCCGGCGCCA
This 89-nucleotide transfer RNA is filed under the name Candidatus Bathyarchaeota archaeon. RNAcentral's name for it is "tRNA-Ser". It matches the Rfam family "tRNA". Rfam says of the family: Transfer RNA (tRNA) molecules are approximately 80 nucleotides in length. Lineage: Archaea; Thermoproteati; Candidatus Bathyarchaeota. RNAcentral also lists the same sequence under 1 other name. The record is from RNAcentral.